This 620-nucleotide ribosomal RNA is filed under the name Ramaria claviramulata. Its description in RNAcentral is "eukaryotic LSU rRNA". It matches the Rfam family "Eukaryotic large subunit ribosomal RNA", at positions 65 to 655 of the family's 3401-position model. Lineage: Eukaryota; Fungi; Basidiomycota; Agaricomycetes; Gomphales; Gomphaceae. The record is from RNAcentral.
CUAACGAGGAUUCCCCUAGUAACGGCGAGUGAAGCGGGAAGAGCUCAAAUUUGAAAUCUGACGGUCUAUUGGCCGUCCGAGUUGUAGUCUGGAGAAGCGUUUUCUACCUCGGACCGUGUACAAGUCCCUUGGAACAGGGCGUCGCAGAGGGUGAGAAUCCCGUCUUUGACACGGACCGCCGAUGGUUAUACGAUGCGCUCUCAAAGAGUCGAGUUGUUUGGGAAUGCAGCUCAAAACGGGUGGUAAAUUCCAUCUAAAGCUAAAUAUUGGCGAAAGACCGAUAGCGAACAAGUACCGUGAGGGAAAGAUGAAAAGCACUUUGGAAAGAGAGUUAAACAGUACGUGAAAUUGUUGAAAGGGAAACGCUUGAAGUCAGUCGCGUCUUCCGGGACUCAGCCCUUGCUUUUUUUAGCUGGGUGUAUUUCCUGGGACGACGGGCCAGCGUCGAUUUCGACCGUCGGAGAAAGGCCUUGGGAACGUGGCACCUGUUUUUGGGUGUGUUAUAGCCCUCGGUCGCAUGCGACGGUUGGGAUCGAGGAUCGCAGCACGCCUUUUUGGCCGGGGUUCGCCCACGUAACGUGCUUAGGAUGCUGGCGUAAUGGCUUUAAGCGACCCGUCUU